Molecule: ribosomal RNA, 112 nt
Filed under: Castor canadensis (American beaver)
Lineage: Eukaryota; Metazoa; Chordata; Mammalia; Rodentia; Castoridae
Source: RNAcentral
AAGAGCUUCAAACCAUUCUGAAUGAGCCCAAUCUCGUCUGAUCUCAGAAGCUAAGCAGGGUCGGACCUGAUUUGUACUUGGAUGGGAGACAAAUCUUCAGAAGAGGCUGCUC